RNAcentral lists this ribosomal RNA (250 nucleotides) under uncultured bacterium. Its description in RNAcentral is "partial 16S ribosomal RNA". It matches the Rfam family "Bacterial small subunit ribosomal RNA", at positions 524 to 772 of the family's 1533-position model. The record is from RNAcentral.
UACGUGAGCUACGAGCGUUGUCCGGAUUUACUGGGCGUAAAGAGAUGCGUAGGCGUCUUCUCAAGUCGGUUGUUAAAUCUUCCAGCUCAACUGGAAAGAAGCAAUCGAUACUGAGUUGAUUGAGGUAGGUAGGGGGAAAUGGAAUUCCUGGUGGAGCGGUUAAAUGCGUAGAUAUCAGGAGGAACACCAAUGGCGAAGGCAAUUUCCUGGACCUUACCUGACGCUAAGGCUCGAAAGCGUGGGGAGCAAA